CGAGCAAACGAGUAGAAAUACGGCGUAUGGGGUAAUAUACGGUUGGUCGUAGAAUACUAGUAACCAUAAGGUUCCAUCUACGACCCCAAAAAUCUUGUAAAGAGGUAGCCAAGUAGGGUUCAUUGAACUGUGGCUCGAUCUCGAACCCAAACAUGGCUCGAGCAAGGGUUGCGGCCAAGGCUAGGGCGAGCUCAAGCUCAAUGUAGAUGCGGACACAGAACAUUACUAGAACUACAUUUUUAUGGAGAUUUUGUUUGUGGCCAUAACAAUGAUAAAGCAAAGCUAAUAUUAAAACUUUUAUAGCAAACAAGAUUGAUCUUUGGGGUUGUUGAGAUUUGUUUUGAGAUGGGGUUUUUUGUUUAGAUUUAAUGGGAAGAGAAGCUAAGGAAAUGAAAUGAAGAAGGUUGGACGGCGGUGGUGAGAGAGGUGGUUGGUCGAAACAAAGGAGGAGGAGCUUGAAAUUAGCUAACCAAGAGAGGAAGAAGGGGGUGAUGCCGGCGAGAUAGGCGGUGGAGAUGGUGAGAGGGAGGUAAAGGAAGAAGAUGAAGAUUGGGGUUAAAGAAAUAAGCUUGAAAAUGCCUUUGGGGAGCUUUGAUGAUAUGUAGUAACAAUAACAAAGGGAAAUUAUAGCUAAAAUCCAUACCUUGAUGAAGUUGUAAUGUUCAAUCUCCAUAGGUUGAUCUUUGGAUCUUUGAUGAAAAUGAAGUUUAAUGUUUAAUAUUGAUAAGGAAUGUGAUUGCGUUUUCUUAGAUAAGUGCAUAGACACGUUCAAAAUUUAAUGUGUAUUUAAUUGAAGGUUGUAGAUAGGUGUAUUGCCCCCAAUCAUAUCAUAAUGAAUUUAAGAUAUUAAGUGGGUAUUUUUUUAUUUUAAAAUAUCAAAUCAAUGAAUUUAAUCGUGUUAACAACUAGGUUUGAAUUUUUAAAUUUGAAAAUUAAGGGAUUAAAUUUCUAAAAAUAAAAAUAUAAAGACUAAAUUUCAAAUGUACGAAAACUACAAAGACAGAGUAUAUUCUAAUAUUCAAAUAUUUACUCUAUAAUUUAGCUUAAAAAAUAAUUAACCUAAUGCGAAGUGUGGCAACAACUAGACUUGUUAUAUUUUAAAGGAAACAAAUAAGAGAAAGCCAGUUUGACCUUUUCAUAAUAGUUACCUUGCUGUUGGUUACUUUGAACAACUGAACUAGCUUGGUACUAAAACUCUUAGUAGUUGUAAUUUUCAGGUUGAUUACAUGCAUAUCGCACCAAUUGUUGGUACAAAAUGUUGGCUUAGUGGUAGAUGAUGAUUCAUAUACAUCACUGUGGAGAGCCGUUGGUGGUGGGUCUGAGAAUUUCAGAGAUUGAUAAAAAGGCUUCUUGAAGGGUUUUAACAAAGUUUAUAGGUAAAAAGGGAUAUUCUAAUUGUAUUUGGGUAAGGGAAACGAUUAUAAAAUUCAUAACCUUUGAAAUAGGCUCCUUGGAGGGAAUUUGGAAGCUUGGUCAUGAUGCAUCUUUUUGCACGUUGAUAAUGUGAUUAAUCAACAUGUUUUUAGUGAUUUAUUGUAAUUAAUUUUGGACAUGGAUGCUACUAAUUCGGUACUUUUUUUUUACUAUUUUCUAUAUUAGUACAAUGCAAGUUUGAAAUGUUAGAGUAUAAGUUGCUUUCAAGGUUAUGCACUUGGUAAUCGUUAGUUGUCAUGCUGGUCUCGUAAUUAAUUUAUCACUAAGGAAGAAUUUGGAGAUUUGAGAUUGUUCCUCGAUCUCUAUAACUAAUUUAUCAUUUGGAGAGAAUCCAUUAUCCGGGAUCAGUUCAAAGUUGAAGUCAAAAUUGUGCCUAAGGCUAGAUUUUGCAUUUUAUCGGUUUAUUCAUUUUUUAUUUAAUUUUUUGUGAUUUAUUUUAUAUUCUGAUUUAAUCCCCCAUCUAUUUUGUAUAGAUUGGCAUGAGUCAUGGGCACGAAAACUAUCUGCGAAGCAUUUUGGUUAUAAAGAGAUACAGAUUCAAACAGAUUAGUCCUUGUGGGAUCGACUCUACUCUUUAUACUAUAAAUUUAAUUUUGGUUUUAGGUGUAAGAAUUUAUUUUUGGUGAAUUUGGCACCUAUCAUAGGUGUGUUUGGAUGUAAUGAAACAAGUUGGUAGUGUGGCUUGCCUCUUUUACACUUUUCAAACAUGCAUGAGACAGAUAUUUAGCAAAGGAUUAAUGUUUUACUAUGUUGGUGAGCUUCCACAUAUAGAUGUUGGUGAAAUGUUAAAGAUGAAAUUCUCCUAUUUUCCAUUGGUCAAAGAGGUUGACUUGACAAGAUCCAUUAGGCAAGAUGACACAUAUAACAAUUACGAAUAUAUGAAAACAAAAAAAUGAAAAGACGAAGAACAAAAAUUCAUCGAGACAUAUCUUAUUUACACUUCGCAACUUUACAAUUUUUCAUAUGAUGUUUUAACUCAAAAGUAUCAUUAUUUUUGAGGAGGGGCCGACUCUUUCGGGAGAAGUCUUCAAAGUGUCGUAUGUUGAACAGCCGACCUGAUCCCCCCAACAACAGAAGCUAUUGUCCCCUUGUCGAGGUUUUGUCCUUAGCCUUCAUGAAGAGCCAUGUACGGUUCAUGGAGGGGGCACCUCGAGAGAUAGGUACUUGCAAGACUUGGGAAAAAUGUCAGUAUGGGGCGUGUGAAUAAUAGUGGAGGUACUUGGGUGCGUCGCGAUUCAAACCACCAACCAAGGCUUAAAGACAACAUGUUUGCAAACAUGGUACUCUUCAUUUUUUUUUAAAACCUCGACACAGGGACUAUAUUGAUUUUUGGGGGUUUGGGUUGACUGUCAGAGGACGACACUUUAAAAACUUCUUACAAAGGAACCGAUUCUCCCCUUAACAAUUAUGAUGACUAUAACAGCCCGAUUUUCAAUGGUAUUGGAAAAGCGAUUUGAAACCUCAUUUUCGUAAAACAGUGUUUGUAAAUAUUAAUAUUUAAUAUUUAUGAAGCUAUUAUAGUAAUAUAUUAAAGUUUGGUUUAGUAAUUUUGUUGAAUUGAUAGCUAAUUAAGGUUCAAUGACUAAAUUGUAAGAGUUUAUCGCUAAAGGUUUUUAAUUGGUCAAAAAUUUAGGGACGUAAAUUGCAUUUACUAAAAGGUCUAAAGAGGUAAUUUAACCAAUUUAAAAUAAGAAAUAGUGGCAUAUGAUGACAUUCCCACUAUCUUUGAUUAAUAGUUAAUUAAUUAAACUUAAAUUAAUUAAACUUAAUUAACUCAUCUUUAAUUUAAACAAAUUAAAAGGGAAAGUCAUCAUCUUUUAUUCAUCUUUCUCUCUUGGUCGAAUCUUGGAGGAGAGAAAACCUAAGGAAACAUUUCACAUUUGACUUCAAAAUUGGUAUGUGUAAUUAAAUCAUUUUCUUGUAAUUUUUAUGUUUUUGAGGCCAUGAAAGAUUGAUUUAGCUAGCUCAUGUAUCAAUUUGUAAAACUGUUAAAAUUUUUAAAAGUUUUCAUUGAUAAUUUCUUAAAUAAAUUAGUGUUAAAUUGAUAGGCUUCAAGCUUAGAUGUGAAAAAGGAUAAGAUUGUAAAGUUUAAAUUGUUAGUUUUGUCAAAAAGGAUUAAAGUGUAAAAAUUGAAUAUUUGAUGUGAAGUUUUUUUAACAAUAGAUAGUAGAGGGUCCUAAAAGGAUAUGAGUGAGAUCGAUUUUGAAAUCUAAGCUCAAAAUUGAAAGUUAUGGCAAUUUCGAUUUUAGGGUCUAAAUUGAAUAAAAUGUAAAACUUUAGGGGCAUUUAGAAAAUGAAAUUGAACUGGUACAUGCAUAUAAUAGAAUGUUAUAACAUUUUUAGUAUUGAUAAAUUGAAUUGAAUAAUUGUAUAGAUCGAGAAUUGAACCAAACUGAAGAUAAUUGGGGAAAAGAAAAAAUUAUCGAUUAGUCCUUAUGAAACUUACUAGGUAAGUUCAUAUGAAACUUACUAAAUUAUCUUUUGAAUUGUAUUUUUUUUCUAUUGUAUGUUUAUAUUUAAGUGAAAUUGUGGAAAUUGGCUUAUUUGGCUAUUUAUGGACUAAAUUGUAAAACAUGAAAAUGUUGGCUAUACGAAAGGGUACAAAGUACCGAUAUGAAUGUUACAUGUUUAUAGGAUUUGUAUGAAAUAUGCAUUUUGAUAUAAGACUUGAAAUGAUACGAUUAAGAUAAUGAUGCUAGUGUGAACUUAGUAAAAGCUUAGAAUACGUAUGACAUGUCAUUAGGGUCAAAUAUGGAAUCGGUCAGGGAUUUACAUGGUUAUAUGAGAUCCAACAUUUUUUUCUCGAUUUAUAUGUAUCGUUGGUUUAGCCUGGACUAGUAACCACAAUACGAUGUCAGCUUGUCUGAGCAAUUUCAUAAAUAUCAGCUUUUUUUCAGAAACCCUGAUCAAUGUCAACUUGUGUGAGCAAUAUAGUCACGUUUAUCCGAAAUGGUAACCUAACGGAAAUGAAAUCAUUGUAAUGAUACAAAUGUGGAUUGAAUUUUACAUGUUUUCAAAUUGAAUAUGAAUUCUUUUGUACAUGUUUCAAAUUGAGUUGUGGUAAAUUAAUUUUGUGUAAAGUUCUUGAUAUGAAAAUGGACUAAUCUAUUCAUUGUAUAUGAUAUUAUGUGUUAGCUAUUUCAAGAUAUGUCAAAUGAUGCCAUAUUGAAUGACAAUGUAUUUAAAUUUUUAGUUUGUUGUAAUAUCAAGGUAAGUUAAAUUUCAUAUGAACUUACUAAGCAUUAUGUUACUUUUUGUUUUCCUUGUAGAUCAUUACCUUGCAGAACAUAUCAAGUAGAUCGCUUUGGAUCUCACAUUAUCCUGUUUUUGAAUCAGUAGCUUUUCGAUCAUUUUAAGUUCGGAAUUGUGGAUGUAUAUAGGCGUUUUGUAUAUGUUAACUUUCAAUGUUGGACAUAGCUUAAAACCUUCCUAAUGCAUGAUUUUGACAAUGUUAAUGUCUAGUUGAAAUGGCAUGUUUUGGUAAAUGUGUUUGAAUUAGGUUUGGAAAUUAAAAUCGCAUGUUUGAACAUGGAUUAGCAUAGAUACUAAAUUGGUAUUUGAAUGGCUAGUUGGUUGGAUGGAUGAUUUAUAAUUGAAUGAGUUGAAUUGGUAUGUUUUGUGUUAAUUUGAACUUAUAUUGAAUUGAUUGAUUGGAAAUGGUUAAAUGACUUGUUUUGGUAUGUUUUUGGUAUGGUUUGAUUCAAGUAAAGAUGGGCGAUUUGUUCAGUAAAUUGAAUAGGUUGUUUGGAAGCAUUAAAUAGGUACCGAAUGGUUCAUUUUUCUUAAAAACAGGUUCCACAUCACGAUUAUGGUUCUCGACAUCGCAACAUUGGAAAUUCAGAGAGUCUCGUUGCAACAUAUUGAGGUGCCCAUGUCGCGAUGAGGAAACACUGAAGUCACGACGACGGUUAAUUUUUAAAACUUUACAAUUUGGUCCUAUUUCGUGCUCGGGUCAGUAAAAGAGCUUUAGUAAGCUCGAUUAAGGCUCGAGUUUAAUUGAUUAACAUAAUGUAAAUGUGUUUAGCACUUAAUUACAUGUUUGAUUGAUGUUUACUGUAUAAUUUACUAUAGUUACUUCGACAACGAAUGUGACAUACUAUAACUCGAACCCGACAAUCAAAUCGGGCUAAAAGUGUUACAAUAACUAUUGAAUGCCAUUGGUAGUCUCAUUUUUUUAAAAAAAGACAUCUAUAAUUAAUAUUCAUGUUCCACGUAUAUUUAAACAUAGAUAUAAGAUUUGCUUUCUCAAAAAUUUGUUUUAUUCCAAUCUGGUCAAAGCCAACAAAAGUGUUUGAUAGAAACGAGAAGGACAAACAGACAAACUUUGUGUUGUGUUUUAAUGAUAGUCACUAAAUAUGGCGUGGCCCGUUUUCUUAUACGGAACCAUAGUUUCUACAUCCUGGAAAUGGAACAUCAAGCCGACAUUUUUAAGGUUAAUUUCUGCUAUUUAUCCUUAAUUUUUGCGAAAUUUAUAUAUUUAAUCUCUAUAUUUUAAUUUAAUCAUUUUUAGUCAUUAAACUUUUCAAAUUUUAAAGUUUCAAUACUAACCGAACGGUAACUAUUAAAUUCAGUAAGUUUUGCUAUUUUAAAAAUCUGAGGUGGUAAACAUAUUAUCAUAUGUGUAAUAACAUGUCAGUUGAUUAUUUCUGCAUAUUACUAACUAAAAAUCCAUGCAAUGAAUUAACGAUUGUCAUUUGCUUCAAGAUUGAAAUUUUAAAACUCGAAAAAUACAGGGACUUAAAAUGAUCCACUUGAAGAAUAUGGAUUAAAUCUGUAACUUUAAGUAUAGUACAGGACUAUUAAUUGAAUUUAACUGCUAUUAUUUGGGUUAUGACUAAAUUUUAAAAUUCGAAAAAUAUAGGACAAAAAUUGAUCAAAUUAAAGUAUAAAAAUUAAAUCCAUAAUUUUGACAAAACAUUGAGAUUAAUAGCAGAAUUUGCCUUUUUUAAUGAAAUAAAAAUAUAACCAUGGAAAUAUUCUUCAUAGAACUUUGUUGUUCAAUUCAGACUCAGAGAGUUUUGUACUUUCUACUCAAGUUCUCUCAUGAUUAUCCUACAAGCUGUAUUCACAUGUCUUGUUUUAUAUAUAUAUAUAUAUAUGGGUAAACUAUACUAGUAGUCACCCAAUUAUUAAUAAAUUUUUUUUAAUCACACAAUUAUGAAAAGUUAUAAAUUAAAUGAUCAUCUAGCUAUUAGUAAAUUUCUUUUUUAGUCACACAACUAUGAAAAAUUACAAAAUAAUUAUUAAACUAUUCAAUUUUGUCAUUUUUGGUCCCCAGCUGGCUACCAUAAAAAUAGAAAUACCCAAAACUCCAAGAUAGUUAGGUGACCAAAAAAGAAAUUUACUAAUAGUUGGAAGACCAUUUUAUAAUUUUUCAUUGUUGAGUGACAAAAGAAAAUUAACUAAUAAUUGGGUGAAUAUUAAAUAGUUUACCUCAAAACCCUUGCUAUAAUUUAAGUGCAGGUGUGUUACUUAGCAUUGUGUUUGAUAUAGUUUUUUUGAGGCAAGAAAAAUGGCUAAGGUUAGUGAGAAACUGAUGGUGUAUUGCUUGGUAGCAAUUUUUGUGGUCAUUGCAAUGGUGGAAGGAAUUUAAAUGGGUGGAUUUUUAUUUAUGAUUUUUUUCUAAAAUUACAAUGAUAAUCAAAAUGGAAGCAAACCCUUUAUAAGAUCCAUCACCUUGGAGUACUCUCCAAUGUUCUUCUCAUCUACACCAUUCCUCACUAACUGCGGGAGAAACAACCAAACGGCAGUCACCGCCACAAAUCCCAAAGCUGACGCCCCGGAAACCACCGGGUGCAACCUCAUUUUCUCAGGCACCACCUUCUUCACCACCACUUCCGCCGCCACCGCAACCCCAUGUAAGAUGAAAAACCAUGUCACCUCCCAACUAGGAGCCACACGAGUCAUGUAAUAAAAAAUCAAUUCAUGCAUCAAGCCGGAGACGACGAACACAACGACGAUCGCCGGCAACGAAGCCCACCUUGAUCCGAGCAAACGAGUAGAAAUACGGCGUAUGGGGUAAUAUACGGUUGGUCGUAGAAUACUAGUAACCAUAAGGUUCCAUCUACGACCCCAAAAAUCUUGUAAAGAGGUAGCCAAGUAGAGUUCAUUGAACUGUGGCUGGAUCUCGAACCCAAACAUGGCUCGAGCAAGGGUUGCGGCCAAGGCUAGGAUGAGCUCAAGCUCAAUGUAGAUGUGGACACA
RNAcentral lists this long non-coding RNA (7638 nucleotides) under Gossypium raimondii (Peruvian cotton). RNAcentral describes it as "long non-coding RNA (GRAI_LNC007863)". Lineage: Eukaryota; Viridiplantae; Streptophyta; Magnoliopsida; Malvales; Malvaceae. The record is from RNAcentral.